Zonotrichia leucophrys gambelii is the source of this 845-nucleotide long non-coding RNA. RefSeq lists it as uncharacterized. Lineage: Eukaryota; Metazoa; Chordata; Aves; Passeriformes; Passerellidae. The record is from RefSeq and is a predicted model, not a curated record. The transcript has 3 exons.
GUUCUGUUGUGAAGGAGUCAGUGCUGUAAGGAUCUGUCCAUUAGAAAUCACUAAAAAGACAGUCCAAUACAGCUUUGACCUAAUUGGUCAGUUGAAUCCAAGCACCAUCACCAGUGGCCAAUGAAGAAAUCACCUUUUGGUAAACAAAUCUCCAUAACACAUUCCACAUGUUCACAACAACACGUGCAGCAAGGCAAGGCUUACAUGCUUGUGUGUGUCUGGAGUGAGAAAAUGUCCUGAUGGGUCCCAGUGCUGACCAAGAACAGAUUUCUCUCCUGAGAAAUUAAGCUGCUGCUAAUUACCUGGGCAGGGAGGAAGGCCUGGUCUGUUUCUGGGAUGCAGCCAAACCUGAGUUAAAAUCAUAACAAGGGAAGAUAUUCCGUGGUGUAAACAUUGCUGGCAUGCAUAAUUUCUAGCAGUUCAUUUGAAAAAUCAGAAGGUUUGAAAACUGUGAGAAUAUGCUAGAGAAGGGACAAAAUUCUCUUUCAAAGGUUCCUGAGAAGAGAGUUCCUAUCUUUCAGUCAGGCUCCCACAUGCCUUUGCUAUAGAUUAUGCAGGAUGUGAUGUAGCUUUGAAUCCUUAUUUACAGAUGGUAAAGCAGUAACUUAAUCAGAUCCUCCACUGUUGUCUCUGCAUAAUACAAAAAAUUAAAAAACCUUUUGGGUUGAAAAUGACACCCCUGUGCAUUGAUUCUACCAGGGCUGUGAACAGCUCUUGUAUCAGGUUAUGUAAACUUCCCUCCAUCAAGUAAAGAUGCCAUUUGCAAAGAGUCCAAUAGCUGUUCCUGGGCAUGUUUAGAACCACAUUUCUAAAGAUUAUUUUAUGUAAUGGCCCUUAAAGAUCAA